GAGCCCGGUAGCGCAGUGGUUGUCGCGCCCUCCUCCUUUGGAGGGAGGACGCCGGUUCGAAUCCGGCCCGGCUCG
This 75-nucleotide transfer RNA is filed under the name Saccharothrix ecbatanensis. Its description in RNAcentral is "tRNA-Gln". It matches the Rfam family "tRNA". From Rfam's summary of the family: Transfer RNA (tRNA) molecules are approximately 80 nucleotides in length. Their secondary structure includes four short double-helical elements and three loops (D, anti-codon, and T loops). Lineage: Bacteria; Bacillati; Actinomycetota; Actinomycetes; Pseudonocardiales; Pseudonocardiaceae. The record is from RNAcentral.